RNAcentral lists this ribosomal RNA (450 nucleotides) under uncultured bacterium. RNAcentral describes it as "bacterial SSU rRNA". It matches the Rfam family "Bacterial small subunit ribosomal RNA", at positions 115 to 513 of the family's 1533-position model. The record is from RNAcentral.
ACAUCGGACGUGUCCAGUAAUGGGGGAUAACUUAGCGAAAGUUAGGCUAAUACAGCAUACGAUCUGCGGAUGAAAGCGGGGGAUGCAGCACUAAAAGAUUCUGGCAGAGUACAGUCAAAGGCGAUCCAAGAGUUGGUGGUGCUGCACCUCGCGUUAUUGGAGCGGAUGAUGUAUGAUUAGCUAGUUGAUGAGGUAAUGGCAUACCAAGGCGAUGAUCAUUAGCUGGUUUGAGAGGACGGCCAGCCACACUGGGAUUGAGACACGGCCCAGACUCCUACGGGAGGCAUCAGUGGGGAAUUUUGCACAAUGCCCGAAAGGGUGAUGCAGCAACGCCGCGUGAGGGAUGAAGGCAUUCGGGUCGUAAACCUCUUUCGAUCGGGAUAAACGGACGGGUGAUAGCCCGUCCUGAUGGUACCGGAUGAAGAAGCCCCGGCUAAAUACGUGCCAGCA